Molecule: small RNA, 67 nt
Organism: Paenisporosarcina sp. HGH0030
Lineage: Bacteria; Bacillati; Bacillota; Bacilli; Caryophanales; Caryophanaceae
Rfam family: Bacillaceae-1 RNA
Source: Rfam
UUGUUAGGAAGGAAGGCUAAGAGCCCGACAUCGUGUCGGAACGCCUUCAUGAUCAACAUCCGAUUGA